CGGGAGGGGGACGGGCUCGCGGACUAUCCGGGCUGAGGAGACCCGGGGGCGGAAGGUCAGUCAGCGGGGAAGAGUCCGUCGUGCGUCGCUUUCAUUGCCUCAGGGAAAGGACCGGGCGUGCUCACGAGCCCGGUAACUCCUGGCUUUAUCCUCCGCUUCCUAAGCCUGGUUCAACUGGGUGUCUCCCUGGUGAAACGUCACGUUGGCAAAUCCAGCAGUGAGUGGCCUUCUGAUUUCCCAGCAAGGUCCAAGUUCAGUUCCAUAUUAGGCAUAAAACUCCUACUUCAAAAGCUACCAGAGUACUGUGAAAGAAGAAACAGUGUUGUCGAAGGCUGCUGAUAUUGCCUAUUAGCCAGAAGAAAGAACUUGAAUCUGGCAAAGAAGUGUGGUAAACAUCCUACCCAGAUCUGCAUGUGCUAAGUAUCCAGUUCGUCAGCUAAAAACUUUGGAGUUAGACAUAUGGACUGCCCGUCCUAAGGGAAGAAUCAGAGGAGAAGGGAUACAAGACCCCAGGAGCACACCCAGCACGUUAGUAUGCAUGCUGCGUCUCUCUGAAAUGGUGGAACCUGUUUGUUUACCUCUUCUGGAGAAUGGCUGCCUGUAGCAGACACAGGAGUUGUCCUCAUACUGUGCGUCCUGACUUCCACAGGAAUUUGAGUUGUAGCUGCAAUGCAGCUACCAACCAGGGAUACAGUUUCUCAGCUCCACGCCUUGCACCUACAGCUAAGUGUGGCCAUGUGACCGGUUUUCAUCAAUUAAGUAUGAAUAGAAACAAAGUACACCACCUUCAUUUGGAGGCUUUGAAGAAGCAACUACCCUUCAUUUUCUCUCUUUCACCUUGUAGUGGGGGGAUACAGAUGACAAUAAGGCCCUGGGUGAUGAGGCAGCCACAGGAUGCAAAAUGCCUCAGACCUGAGUCACCACAUGGAAGAGACAAGCUACUGACCUAAAAGAUCCACCCUGGUCUAUAGAUGAACAAGAAAUAAACUUCUAUUAUGUUUGAACAUUGCAGAUUUUGUUCUGUUAUAGCAGUUUAUCUCACUCUGACUAAACUGUUACCUGUCUUUCAAGAGAUAGGCAAGUUUAGCCAGGGUGUCCUCCUUUCCUGAAAGUGAUUUUUUCAUAUAUGUAAUCUAUAUGUUAAUUCAUACUCUCCAAAGCAUAUCCACAUCUAUUCAACUAUGCUUAUGUGUUCCAUCAAC
Non-coding RNA from Saimiri boliviensis boliviensis (Bolivian squirrel monkey), 1202 nucleotides. The record is from RefSeq and is a predicted model, not a curated record. NCBI's taxonomy places the organism in Eukaryota, Metazoa, Chordata, Mammalia, Primates, Cebidae.